RNAcentral lists this ribosomal RNA (497 nucleotides) under uncultured bacterium. RNAcentral's name for it is "partial 16S ribosomal RNA". It matches the Rfam family "Bacterial small subunit ribosomal RNA", at positions 28 to 507 of the family's 1533-position model. The record is from RNAcentral.
GAUGAACACUGGCGGCGUGCCUAAUACAUGCAAGUCGAGCGAACAGACGAGGAGCUUGCUCCUUCGACGUUAGCGGCGGACGGGUGAGUAACACGUAGGUAACCUACCUAUAAGACUGGGAUAACUUCGGGAAACCGGAGCUAAUACCGGAUAAUAUUUCGAACCGCAUGGUUCGAUAGUGAAAGAUGGCUUUGCUAUCACUUAUAGAUGGACCUGCGCCGUAUUAGCUAGUUGGUAAGGUAACGGCUUACCAAGGCAACGAUACGUAGCCGACCUGAGAGGGUGAUCGGCCACACUGGAACUGAGACACGGUCCAGACUCCUACGGGAGGCAGCAGUAGGGAAUCUUACGCAAUGGGCGAAAGCCUGACGGAGCAACGCCGCGUGAGUGAUGAAGGUCUUCGGAUCGUAAAACUCUGUUAUUAGGGAAGAACAAACGUGUAAGUAACUGUGCACGUCUUGACGGUACCUAAUCAGAAAGCCACGGCUAACUACGUG